ACUCCUACGGGAGGCAGCAGUAGGGAAUCUUCCACAAUGGGCGCAAGCCUGAUGGAGCAACACCGCGUGAGUGAAGGAGGGUUUCGGCUCGUAAAGCUCUGUUGUUAAAGAAGAACACGUAUGAGAGUAACUGUUCAUACGUUGACGGUAUUUAACCAGAAAGUCACGGCUAACUACGUGCCAGCAGCCGCGGUAAUACGUAGGUGGCAAGCGUUAUCCGGAUUUAUUGGGCGUAAAGAGAGUGCAGGCGGUUUUCUAAGUCUGAUGUGAAAGCCUUCGGCUUAACCGGAGAAGUGCAUCGGAAACUGGAUAACUUGAGUGCAGAAGAGGGUAGUGGAACUCCAUGUGUAGCGGUGGAAUGCGUAGAUAUAUGGAAGAACACCAGUGGCGAAGGCGGCUACCUGGUCUGCAACUGACGCUGAGACUCGAAAGCAUGGGUAGCGAACAGGAUUAGAUACCCUGGUAGGAUAGCG
RNAcentral lists this ribosomal RNA (473 nucleotides) under uncultured bacterium. Its description in RNAcentral is "bacterial SSU rRNA". It matches the Rfam family "Bacterial small subunit ribosomal RNA", at positions 335 to 801 of the family's 1533-position model. The record is from RNAcentral.